Molecule: long non-coding RNA, 604 nt
Filed under: Manacus vitellinus (golden-collared manakin)
Lineage: Eukaryota; Metazoa; Chordata; Aves; Passeriformes; Pipridae
Description: lncRNA (ENSMVIG00005001922.1)
Source: RNAcentral
GAAGUACCUUGACAAGGAGAAAUAGAAGGUAUAGAACUGUAGGACUGGAAAUGAAACGGAGAGAAACAACUUUAACAAUAUGACAAAGAUAAGAUUCUGCAAUAAAUUUCUUGAUUAUUUUUGUGCCUGAACUUAUAAGAAACUUGAAAUGAAACUAGUAAUGAAAUUAAAUUCACCUUUCAGGGUUGUUUACAGUGAAGCUCAGUGAUGUACACUGGGUGCUGAAAAUGGAAUUUCUUCUACUAAAGCUGAAAUAUUCUUGCUAAGAUAUUCUCCAAGCAACCCUGACAAGUAAUUUCUGCCCUUUCAGAACUGAGCAGGACUCUAGAGUACGAAGCCUAAUUUUCCAUGUUGUUCAGUCUGUGAAAUGUUCCUGAGGGUGGACUGAAAGCAAACUCUAGAAGCACUCCCACACAAAAACUGAGUAGCUUACCAACCGGACCUUCCCUACUUUGACUAGGACCUCUGGAUGAGAAAUGUUUUUGAAGACUGCUGACAAGAAGGGACAACUUAGUUAGACAUGAAUGAGAAACUGCUUCCAGGUAAGGCUGCACAAUGAGGUAGGAUGAACCUGUGUAUGUGCUUAGGAUUUACAAAAGAACUA